CGGCAGGGGGACCUUCGGGUUGCCGGCCAGCGGCGGACGGGUGAGUAAUGCCUAGGAAUCUGCCUGUUAGUGGGGGAUAACGCGGGGAAACUCGCGCUAAUACCGCAUACGUCCUACGGGAGAAAGUGGGGGACCCUCGGGCCUCACGCUAACAGAUGAGCCUAGGUCGGAUUAGCUAGUUGGUGGGGUAAAGGCCCACCAAGGCGACGAUCCGUAACUGGUCUGAGAGGAUGAUCAGUCACACUGGAACUGAGACACGGUCCAGACUCCUACGGGAGGCAGCAGUGGGGAAUAUUGGACAAUGGGCGAAAGCCUGAUCCAGCCAUGCCGCGUGUGUGAAGAAGGUCUUCGGAUUGUAAAGCACUUUAAGUUGGGAGGAAGGGCGCUCGGUGAAUACCCAAGCGUCUUGACGUUACCGACAGAAUAAGCACCGGCUAACUUCGUGCCAGCAGCCGCGGUAAUACGAAGGGUGCAAGCGUUAAUCGGAAUUACUGGGCGUAAAGCGCGCGUAGGUGGUUCGGCAAGUUGGAUGUGAAAGCCCCGGGCUCAACCUGGGAACCGCAUCCAAAACUACUGGGCUAGAGUACGGUAGAGGGUGGUGGAAUUUCCUGUGUAGCGGUGAAAUGCGUAGAUAUAGGAAGGAACACCAGUGGCGAAGGCGACCACCUGGACCGAUACUGACACUGAGGUGCGAAAGCGUGGGAGCAAACAGGAUUAGAUACCCUGGUAGUCCACGCCGUAAACGAUGUCGACUAGCCGUUGGGCUCCUUGAGAGCUUAGUGGCGCAGCUAACGCAUUAAGUCGACCGCCUGGGGAGUACGGCCGCAAGGUUAAAACUCAAAUGAAUUGACGGGGGCCCGCACAAGCGGUGGAGCAUGUGGUUUAAUUCGAAGCAACGCGAAGAACCUUACCUGGCCUUGACAUCCUGCGAACUUUCAAGAGAUUGAUGGGUGCCUUCGGGAGCGCAGAGACAGGUGCUGCAUGGCUGUCGUCAGCUCGUGUCGUGAGAUGUUGGGUUAAGUCCCGUAACGAGCGCAACCCUUGUCCUUAGUUACCAGCGAUUCGGUCGGGCACUCUAAGGAGACUGCCGGUGACAAACCGGAGGAAGGUGGGGAUGACGUCAAGUCAUCAUGGCCCUUACGGCCAGGGCUACACACGUGCUACAAUGGUCGGUACAAAGGGUUGCCAAGUCGCGAGGCGGAGCUAAUCCCAGAAAACCGAUCGUAGUCCGGAUCGCAGUCUGCAACUCGACUGCGUGAAGUCGGAAUCGCUAGUAAUCGCGAAUCAGAAUGUCGCGGUGAAUACGUUCCCGGGCCUUGUACACACCGCCCGUCACACCAUGGGAGUGGGUUGCUCCAGAAGUAGCUAGUCUAACCCUCGGGAGGACGGUUACCACGG
This 1398-nucleotide ribosomal RNA is filed under the name Azotobacter vinelandii. Its description in RNAcentral is "bacterial SSU rRNA". It matches the Rfam family "Bacterial small subunit ribosomal RNA". The record is from RNAcentral. Lineage: Bacteria; Pseudomonadati; Pseudomonadota; Gammaproteobacteria; Pseudomonadales; Pseudomonadaceae.